Arvicola amphibius (Eurasian water vole) is the source of this 1418-nucleotide long non-coding RNA. RefSeq lists it as uncharacterized. NCBI's taxonomy places the organism in Eukaryota, Metazoa, Chordata, Mammalia, Rodentia, Cricetidae. The transcript has 4 exons. The record is from RefSeq and is a predicted model, not a curated record.
CCCUCAGGUCCAGACCCUGAGUUCUCUAAGUCCUGGAACCCUUGUAGGUCAGUAUCUCUCUUGGCUGUGACACUCACUGCACUCCCGAGCAGAGCACAAAAUAUUUACACAGCCGCAGAAGGAGCUGUCUGGAGCCAGGAAGAUCAGGCAGCGGCUGACUGAAAGUGAUAGAUGUGCCGGAGAGUGGCUGCUGACAGUGGACUGUGGAGAGCAUGUGGAUUGCAGAGAGCGGGCUCUGGAAGGCAGAGUGGCAAGAGCAAGCAAGGUGGAGAUGUGAGGCAAGCUCUUCGAGGUCCAUCUUUGGAAACUUUCUGGGUUGAAUAUUCUACAGGACACAGUGACAGAAUAUUCUACAGGAGUGAAACACCUUCUGUGUUUGGAGGGAGAGAAGACAGAGAACAGAGAGCAAAGGAAGUUUCUCUUUUUAAAAGCUUUUUAUUUUUUGUUUUUAUUCAUUCUUAUAUGUCACAACUAUUCUAUGUUAGUCACAGAAAGAAACUUAGACCAUUGCAUGGCCUCUCACAUCGGCCACAUUGAAGGCAGAAUGACCUAUUCUAAGCCAUAGAUUAAAACAAUAAUGAGGGUUCUGUGCUGGUUAAUCUUCAUUGUCAACAUGGAUGAUUUAGAAGAUUGAGACACAAUUCUGUCUGUCUAUGAAAGAGUUUAAGACAGGAUUUAUUGAGGGGUAAAGACUUCCUGAAAGUGGACAGCUGGUCUUCAGGGUAUGCCAGACUCCCUGAGAAGUAGCCUCUGAUACCAGUGAAGCUAGCAAGAUCAAGACAAACAGGCAAAGAGCAAACUUCCUUUUUCCAUUUCCUCCCACCUCAAAGAUCUGGAUUGGAAAUGGAUCUUCCAAACGGGGCGUGGUGAUGCCUGCCUUUAAUUCCAGCACUUGGAAGGUGGAGGCAGGUGGAUCUCUAAGUUCGAGACCAGACUGGUCUACAGCGCAAGUUCUAGGACAGCUACGUAGAGAAAUCCUGUCUCAAACAAACAAACAACAACAACAACAAAAACAAAACCAAAAAGAACUGCAUCUUUCCCACUUCAAAAGAUCUGACUAAGCAAAAAUUUCCUCACAGGUCGCAUUCUCAUGUUGUCCUCUAAAACCGCGAAGUGGGGCAGGCAGUCAAGAGAGAUUUGACCGAAGCAGAAGAGGCAGUCCCCAAGUUAUCAAGGUCAGCAACGCAUUUCUUCUGUUGGGAACAGCCAGCUGGUGGUUAAGGCCGUUCCUCCAGGCCGUUCUACUCCAGGUAGCAAGAGAAGUCAUGUUUGGCCCAGCAGUUAUGCUGUGAUAGAUUAUUUCCUCAGACUGUGAGCUCCGAUCAGGCCUCCAUUCUUUAAUCAACUUCUUGUCAGGUAUUUGGCCACAGCAACAAGAAAAGGAGCAAAUACAGGCGUUGUGCAAAAAUGAGCUCCAU